AAGCCGGCUCCUCUUGCACUCACUUCCUUUGUGUCUCUCUCUCUCUUUCUCUCUCUCUCCCCCUCACCAAUCUCUUUCUUCCCUCCUUGUCCGAUUCUCUGCUGUAGCUUCCAGUGGAGAAAAAUAAUUAUUCUUCAAUGGGUUAGCACGGGGCGCACGCACACACGCGCGCGCACACACACCCCGCCGAGGUACCCAAUCAAUGCACAAAUCUUCGGGGUCCCUUUAACCUCUGCGGAUGACUCCGGGAGUUAAUUAUGAAGCCUAUUUCGGCGCGGCAUAAAUAUGCAUUAAGCCCCCCAGCCCCGGGGCCGGCGUGCCCGGCCCACCCCGCCCUCCGCGCCCCCCGACGGCCGCGGUCAGCCGGCAUUCCGGAGCAGCGCGUCGGAGCUGCAACUUCGCGCCUAAGCGCCCGCACCUCGCAGCCCGGCGGGCGGGAGACAAAAGCUGCGGCGCCGCCGCCGGAGGCCGCGCGGCCAAGGAAUUAAUGGAGAAUUCAGAGAAAUCAGAGCUUCUACCCCACCACCCUCUGUCAUUGCACUGCCCUGGCACAUGGGCACAACGUCUUCUGAGAAGGGACACAAACUGCUCAGACAUGCGGCAUCCUCCCUGUAGUCCUCCUUUCCUGGCCAGUUGGAGAACGAUCUCUGCCUUUCAGUUCUGAACAGCUUCCAGCAUGCCCCAUAGGGAACAUUUUGGAUUUGAAUGAAGAGCAUAAAAAUGUGGUCAGCAUAUUGGCCUUGGUAUUUGAUUUUCUUUUUUCCAUGCAACCGGCCCCAGGAGGUGACUGACAAGUUGGGCCAAGUGCACUGAAAGCCCUGUCUCGGCUGGCCCAUAACUCCUGAGCUACACAGACCCCUAAGGACCCCGUGAGCCAGCAGAGAGCCAUAAAUCCAGCAAGCUGGAGGCUGGGAGCUCACUGAUUGCACUGGGGAAAAGCAGCCUGAUCUGAUUGCUAUGUGAGCUGGAGAGAGAAAAGGUGGUAACUGGAGUGCUGGAAAUACAACGACUUUGGAACAAAAUGAAGCAACAGAGGAAUGGCAGGAGGGACUGUGGUUUUCUCAUCUGUACAACAAAGGGGCUGGAUUGGACUGCCUCUGAAGCCCUUUCAUCACAGAAAUUCUGUGUUUCUCUUUGUAACUAAGGUCAAACAGAUGUGGGAGGGUGUCAGGAUGGGAAAGCAAGAUCGGGGGACCCAGAGAAGCCAGAAGAGGCAACGAGGAGGCCAACAUAUUUACUGCCCAAUUACUAUCACAUUUUUUGGUGUGUGUGUGAGACAGGGUCUCACUCUGUCUCCCAGACUGGAGUGAAGUGGUGUGAUCUCGGCUCACUGCAAACUCCGCCUCCCAGGUUCAAGCGAUGCUCAUACCUCAGCCUCCUGAGUAGCUGGGAUUACAGGCACAUGCCACCACACCUGGCUAUUUUUUUAUUUUUAGUAGAGAUGGGGUUUCACCAUGUUGGCCAGGCCGGUCUCGAACUCCUGGCCUUAAGCCACUCACCUGCUCAGCCUCCCAAAGUGCUGGGAUUACAGGUGUGAGCCACUGCACCCGGCCAACUAUCACAUUUAAUUCUCAGAAUAACAAGUGAGAUAGAUAUAGUUAUCGCUAUUUUACAGAGAACACUGAAGUACAGAGGCUACAUUAAUAUCUCAAGGUCACAAGGCUCCGUGCUCAGGCUGGGAUUCCAACCCAGGCAGUCUGACCCAGAGCCUGCACGCUUGGUCAUGAAGCCCUCUCGCCUGAGUAUGCAAUGUGACCAGGAAAACCCUGGAGGAAACAUGUACACAACUUGUGUUUCCUUACUUUUAAGGGUAAGAGUGGAAAACAGAUAGUCCCCAUGGAGUAGAUUGUCCAAAAUACACAUCUGUCUUCUGGGAAAGAGGAGUGUGUGUGUGUGUGUGUGUGUGUGUGUGUGUGUCCAUAGGGGAUGUAACAGACAGAACCAAGAAGCAUGUAGGUGAAAAUAUUUAAUAGGGAUGAAUGUAAAUUCCUGUACCUGGGCACAGAAUCCCCAUUAUAUAAAAAUAGAAUAGAGAGUUAGGAUCAGAAAGCAUCAAUUUAGGGGCUUCACCUGACAGUAAGCUCAGGUUGAACACCAGUGUGGUGAGGCUUCCAGAAAAGCCCACCACAGGGCUGCAUCAACAGAAGGGAAGUGUCCCACACCAGGACAGAACCCUUAGACCAUUCGCGCUAGGUUGAGUUCCAGGCCCCUUGCUAUAAGAGGGACAGAGCCAGGCCGGAGAGGAUAAAGAGGAGAGCAACAGGGAUAGUGAUGGACAUCUGAGGAAGAGGUAAAACACCAGUUGAAAGAACCAGGCCAGACAUGGUGGCUCAUGCCUGUAAUCCCAGCACUCUGGGAGGCCAAGGCAGGUGGAUCACCUGAGGUCAGGAGUUUGAGACCAGCCUGGCUAACAUGGUGAAAUCCCGUCUCUACUGAAAAUACAAAAAUUAGUCAGGUGCAGUGGUGGGCACCUGUAAUCCCAGCUACUUGGAAGGCUGAGGCAGGAGAAUUGCUUGAACCCAGGAGACAGAGGUUGCAGUGAGCCAAGAUUGUGCCACUGCACUCCAGCGUGGGCAACGGAGAGACUCUGUCAUAAAAAAAAAGAAAAGAAAAAGAAAGAACCAGGUGACAUUGUGCAAGUUACACCAUACAUCACAACGUCAGUUUUCCUAUCUGCAAAAGGGGUUUAUUAGUAGGGACGGCAUAGAGAUUAAAUGAGGUAAUGCAUGUAAAGUGCUUAGCUGGGGGCUGGACAUAAUAAACGUUAGCUGCACCAGCCGUUAUUAAACCCUGAGCAUGCUCACCUCAGACAAGGGGUGCAUCAGGGACCUGGCUGGAGGAUCAAGCACAGGGAUCUCCAUGGCAUGGGUCCAGAGUCACAGCUC
This is a long non-coding RNA of Homo sapiens (human), 2885 nucleotides long. Ensembl annotates it as LEMD1 divergent transcript. Its record names the gene LEMD1-DT. The record is from Ensembl. NCBI's taxonomy places the organism in Eukaryota, Metazoa, Chordata, Mammalia, Primates, Hominidae.